GACGAACGCUGGCGGCGUGCUUAACACAUGCAAGUCGAACGGAAAGGCCCUGCUUUUGUGGGGUGCUCGAGUGGCGAACGGGUGAGUAACACGUGAGUAACCUGCCCUUGACUUUGGGAUAACUUCAGGAAACUGGGGCUAAUACCGGAUAGGAGCUCCUGCUGCAUGGUGGGGGUUGGAAAGUUUCGGCGGUUGGGGAUGGACUCGCGGCUUAUCAGCUUGUUGGUGGGGUAGUGGCUUACCAAGGCUUUGACGGGUAGCCGGCCUGAGAGGGUGACCGGCCACAUUGGGACUGAGAUACGGCCCAGACUCCUACGGGAGGCAGCAGUGGGGAAUAUUGCACAAUGGGCGGAGGCCUGAUGCAGCAACGCCGCGUGCGGGAUGACGGCCUUCGGGUUGUAAACCGCUUUCGCCUGUGACGAAGCGUGAGUGGCGGUAAUGGGUAAAGAAGCACCGGCUAACUACGUG
Molecule: ribosomal RNA, 468 nt
Filed under: uncultured bacterium
Lineage: Bacteria
Description: partial 16S ribosomal RNA
Rfam family: Bacterial small subunit ribosomal RNA
Source: RNAcentral